GAUGAACGCUGGCGGCGUGCCUAAUACAUGCAAGUCGAGCGAACAGACGAGGAGCUUGCUCCUCUGACGUUAGCGGCGGACGGGUGAGUAACACGUGGAUAACCUACCUAUAAGACUGGGAUAACUUCGGGAAACCGGAGCUAAUACCGGAUAAUAUAUUGAACCGCAUGGUUCAAUAGUGAAAGACGGUUUUGCUGUCACUUAUAGAUGGAUCCGCGCCGCAUUAGCUGGUUGGUAAGGUAACGGCUUACCAAGGCGACGAUGGGUAGCCGACCUGAGAGGGUGUUCGGCGACCCUGGAGCUGGGCCGCGGUCCAGGCUCCUACGGGAGGCCCCAGUCGGGAACGUUCCGCAGUGGGCGAAAACCUGACGGAGCGGGGCCGCGUGAGUGAUGACGGUCUUCGGUUCGUAAAGCUCUCUUAUUAGUGGAGAACAAAUUUGUAAUUAGCUGUGCACGUCUUGACGGUACUUAGUAAGAAAGCCCCGGCUAACUACGUG
RNAcentral lists this ribosomal RNA (497 nucleotides) under uncultured bacterium. RNAcentral's name for it is "partial 16S ribosomal RNA". It matches the Rfam family "Bacterial small subunit ribosomal RNA", at positions 28 to 507 of the family's 1533-position model. The record is from RNAcentral.